AGUGAACGCUGGCGGUAGGCCUAACACAUGCAAGUCGAACGGCAGCACAGUAAGAGCUUGCUCUUACGGGUGGCGAGUGGCGGACGGGUGAGGAAUACAUCGGAAUCUACUUUUUCGUGGGGGAUAACGUAGGGAAACUUACGCUAAUACCGCAUACGACCUACGGGUGAAAGCAGGGGAUCUUCGGACCUUGCGCGAUUGAACGAGCCGAUGUCGGAUUAGCUAGUUGGCGGGGUAAAGGCCCACCAAGGCGACGAUCCGUAGCUGGUCUGAGAGGAUGAUAAGCCACACUGGAACUGAGACACGGUCCAGACUCCUACGGGAGGCAGCAGUGGGGAAUAUUGGACAAUGGGCGCAAGCCUGAUCCAGCCAUACCGCGUGGGUGGAGAAGGCCUUCGGGUUGUAAAGCCCUUUUGUUGGGAAAGAAAAGCAGCAGGUUAAUACCCCGCUGUUCUGACGGUACCCAAAGAAUAAGCACCGGCUAACUUCGUG
This 492-nucleotide ribosomal RNA is filed under the name uncultured bacterium. Its description in RNAcentral is "partial 16S ribosomal RNA". It matches the Rfam family "Bacterial small subunit ribosomal RNA", at positions 29 to 507 of the family's 1533-position model. The record is from RNAcentral.